This 671-nucleotide ribosomal RNA is filed under the name uncultured bacterium. Its description in RNAcentral is "bacterial SSU rRNA". It matches the Rfam family "Bacterial small subunit ribosomal RNA", at positions 49 to 718 of the family's 1533-position model. The record is from RNAcentral.
UAAUACAUGCAAGUCGAACGGUAACAUGGCAGCAAUGCUGAUGACGAGUGGCGCACGGGUGCGUAACACGUAUGCCACCUACCCUUUACUAAGGUAUAGCCCGGAAAAAUUCGGAUUACUCCCUUAUGACACUGUGAUAUGGCAUCAUAUUACAUUUAAAUAUUUAUAGGUAAAGGAUGGGCAUGCGGCCAAUUAGUUAGUUGGUGAGGUAACGGCUCACCAAAACGAUGAUUGGUAGGGGUUCUGAGAGGAACGCCCCCCACACUGGUACUGAGAUACGGACCACACUCCUACGGGAGGCAGCAGUAGGGAAUAUUGGGCAAUGGACGAAAGUCUGACCCAGCCAUGCCGCGUGCAGGAUGAAGGCUUUCUGAGUUGUAAACUGCUUUUGAUCGAAAACAAAAGGCCCAUGCGUGGGAAAUUGAGUGUACCGAUAGAAUAAGCACCGGCUAACUCCGUGCCAGCAGCCGCGGUAAUACGGAGGGUGCAAGCGUUGUCCGGAUUUAUUGUGUUUAAAGGGUGCGUACGCGGCCUUAUAAGUCAGUGGUGAAAUACUUCGGCUCAACCGAAGAGGUGCCAUUGAUACUGUAGGGCUUGAGUACAGACGAGGUAGGCAGUAUUUAUAGUGUAGCGGUGAGAUGCAUACAUACCAUAAAGAACACUGAUUGCGA